UUCCUACGGGGGGCAGCAGUGGGGAAUAUUGCGCAAUGGGGGAAACCCUGACGCAGCAAUGCCGCGUGCGGGAUGACGGCCCUCGGGUUGUAAACCGCUUUCAGCAGGGAAGAUAAUGACGGUACCUGCACAAGAAGCCCCGGCUAACUACGUGCCAGCAGCCGCGGUAACACGUAGGGGGCGAGCGUUAUCCGGAUUCAUUGGGCGUAAAGCGCGCGCAGGCGGGCGCCUAAGCGGGACCUCUAAUCCUGGGG
Molecule: ribosomal RNA, 254 nt
Filed under: uncultured bacterium
Lineage: Bacteria
Description: partial 16S ribosomal RNA
Rfam family: Bacterial small subunit ribosomal RNA
Source: RNAcentral